UGCAGUCNNCGCUUUGUGGUUCAACUGAUUUGAAGAGCUUGCUCNNAUNUGACGAUGGACAUUGCAAAGAGUGGCGAACGGGUGAGUAACACGUGGGAAACCUACCUCUUAGCAGGGGAUAACAUUUGGAAACAGAUGCUAAUACCGUAUAACAAUGACAACCGCAUGGUUGUUAUUUAAAAGAUGGUUCUGCUAUCACUAAGAGAUGGUCCCGCGGUGCAUUAGCUAGUUGGUAAGGUAAUGGCUUACCAAGGCGAUGAUGCAUAGCCGAGUUGAGAGACUGAUCGGCCACAAUGGGACUGAGACACGGCCCAUACUCCUACGGGAGGCAGCAGUAGGGAAUCUUCCACAAUGGGCGAAAGCCUGAUGGAGCAACGCCGCGUGUGUGAUGAAGGGUUUCGGCUCGUAAAACACUGUUGUAAGAGAAGAAUGACAUUGAGAGUAACUGUUCAAUGUGUGACGGUAUCUUACCAGAAAGGAACGGCUAAAUACGUGCCAGCAGCCGCGGUAAUACGUAUGUUCCAAGCG
This 528-nucleotide ribosomal RNA is filed under the name Weissella confusa. RNAcentral's name for it is "bacterial SSU rRNA". It matches the Rfam family "Bacterial small subunit ribosomal RNA", at positions 56 to 540 of the family's 1533-position model. Lineage: Bacteria; Bacillati; Bacillota; Bacilli; Lactobacillales; Lactobacillaceae. The record is from RNAcentral.